RNAcentral lists this ribosomal RNA (468 nucleotides) under uncultured bacterium. RNAcentral describes it as "partial 16S ribosomal RNA". It matches the Rfam family "Bacterial small subunit ribosomal RNA", at positions 28 to 507 of the family's 1533-position model. The record is from RNAcentral.
GACGAACGCUGGCGGCGUGCUUAACACAUGCAAGUCGAACGGAAAGGCCCUGCUUUUGUGGGGUGCUCGAGUGGCGAACGGGUGAGUAACACGUGAGUAACCUGCCCUUGACUUUGGGAUAACUUCAGGAAACUGGGGCUAAUACCGGAUAGGAGCUCCUGCUGCAUGGUGGGGGUUGGAAAGUUUCGGCGGUUGGGGAUGGACUCGCGGCUUAUCAGCUUGUUGGUGGGGUAGUGGCUUACCAAGGCUUUGACGGGUAGCCGGCCUGAGAGGGUGACCGGCCACAUUGGGACUGAGGUACGGCCCAGACUCCUACGGGAGGCAGCAGUGGGGAAUAUUGCACAAUGGGCGGAAGCCUGAUGCAGAAACGCCGCGUGCGGGAUAACGGCCUUCGGGUUGUAAACCGCUUUCGCCUGUGACGAAGCGUGAGUGACGGUAAUGGGUAAAGAAGCACCGGCUAACUACGUG